This 1417-nucleotide long non-coding RNA is filed under the name Piliocolobus tephrosceles (Ugandan red Colobus). RNAcentral describes it as "lncRNA (ENSPTEG00000010972.1)". Lineage: Eukaryota; Metazoa; Chordata; Mammalia; Primates; Cercopithecidae. The record is from RNAcentral.
GAGUCAGUUAAAAACGAGUCAGUUAAAGCAAAUAAUCAAGAUGAGCCAAAUGUAAGUAGUGCCGAAUCAAAUGAAAAUGAAAAUGAAGCUGAUACUGUAAAAGAUAAUGUAUAUGAAAAUUAUGUUAGAGAAUAUAAAAACUUACAGUUAUUAUUUUCAAGUAAAAAUAAACAAAUGGACGAUUUUUAUAUAUCUAUACCUAAAAUGGUCGAUAGUAGUUUUAAAAGAGAAGUAGUAUCACAAAAUAAUAAAAUUAGUGGUUGUAAGGGUAGUAUUACGAGUUACGAUAGCAGCAACGGUAAUGGAACGAAUAGUGCAAGUGGUAGGAACAAAAAAAAGAGUAACACUAACAAUUUGAAUAAAUUGUUAGAAAAUCAUAUAAGUAAUAAACAAAAAAAAAUAUUAAUCAAAGAAAGUGGAAAAGAAAGCAAAGAAGGAAAAGGAAAUCAUAGUGAAAGUAUAUUGGACAACAUUUAUGAACAUACAAGUGGUGAAGAAUAUACAAAUGUUAAAGCAAAAACAAGUGCUGAUGAAUCAAAUGUGAAUAAUAAGGACGAGACUUUUAAUGUUAAUGGGAGAAGAAAUAACGAAAUAUUAAUAACACCUCAAAAAAAUGAUAAAGAAAAAGUCGAAUUUGGUAGAAAACAUAAAAAUAAUGAUAUACAUCAAAAUUCUUUGCAUGAUAAAAAUGAAUCAAACUAUAGUAGUAAUAAUGACCAUGAUACGGUUGUAAAUAUUGCUAACACUAAUAAUUUAUGUAAUAUAUAUAAGGAGGGAAAUAAAUAUAAUGCAAUAAAAGAUAAACAAAUGAAUGUUACACAUAUAAGUGACAAUGAAAGUGUACACCAUAAAGAAUGUAAUAAUGAUAGUGUGUAUAGGUUGAAUAGUAGCAGUUGUAGUAGUAAUAAUGCUAGUCAAUUGUUUAAUAAAAAAGUUAUGCAAAUUGAUAAAAGUUUAAAUAAUUAUACAUUAAAUAAAAAAAAAAGCUUUUUAAGUAAUAGUAGUACAUGGGGAGGAGAUGAAAUUAAAAUGAGUUCUUUAAGUAGUUUGGCUAAUUUUUAUAUUGAUAAAGCAGUAUCAAAAAAUGAUAGUAAUAACAAAAUUAUGUUAUAUAAAGAUAACAUAUCAGAGUAUGGAAAUAUCAAAAAAUUGUUAAGUUACGAAAUUAACAAUUUUAACUCUUUUAUUAAUGACACGAAUAAUUCCUCUAGACAUAACAUACUUAGUGACACCGAUAUACGUAAGAAAAAACACAGUAUUACUGAAUAUAAAAAAAAAAAAAAAAAAAAAACUCGUAGAAAAAAGGUUAUACAAAAAUAAAGUAUACAAGAGUAUGAAUCCAUGACAACAGACACAAACAAUGAAAAAAAAAAAUUUAACAAACGAAAUAAAAAUGACAUACUAUCUGAUAUAUCCA